AACGCACAUUGCGCCCCUUGGUAUUCCGAGGGGCAUGCCUGUUCGAGCGUCAUUAUAACCACUCAAGCCUGGCUUGGUAUUGGGGUCCGCGGUCUUGCGGCCCUUAAAAUCAGUGGCGGUGCCGUCUGGCUCUAAGCGUAGUAAUUUUUCUCGCUACAGGGUCUGGUGGUUACUUGCCAUUAACCCCCCAUUUUCUAAGGUUGACCUCGGAUCAGGUAGGGAUACCCGCUGAACUUAA
This 238-nucleotide unclassified non-coding RNA is filed under the name uncultured fungus. Its description in RNAcentral is "sequence contains ITS2". The stretch from base 1 to 52 matches the Rfam family "5.8S ribosomal RNA", at positions 103 to 154 of the family's 154-position model. Lineage: Eukaryota; Fungi. The record is from RNAcentral.